GGGCCCGCACAAGCGGUGGAGCAUGUGGUUUAAUUCGAUGAUACGCGAGGAACCUUACCAGGGCUUAAAUGCAGAGCGACAGAGGUGGAAACACCUCCUUCUUCGGACGGUCUGCAAGGUGCUGCAUGGUUGUCGUCAGCUCGUGCUGUGAAGUGUCGGGUUAAGUCCCAUAACGAGCGCAACCCCUAUUUCUAGUUGCCAGCGGUUUCGGCCGGGGACUCUAGAGAAACUGCCAGCGUAAGCUGUGAGGAAGGUGGGGAUGACGUCAAAUCAUCACGGCCCUUACGUCCUGGGCCACACACGUGCUACAAUGGUAAGGACAGAGAGUUGCCAACCCGCGAGACAGUGAUGUGGAGCGGACCCCUUAAAGUAUGUCGUAGUCCGGAUUGGAGUCUGCAACUCGACUCCAUG
This 411-nucleotide ribosomal RNA is filed under the name uncultured bacterium. RNAcentral's name for it is "bacterial SSU rRNA". It matches the Rfam family "Bacterial small subunit ribosomal RNA", at positions 917 to 1322 of the family's 1533-position model. The record is from RNAcentral.